This 274-nucleotide ribosomal RNA is filed under the name uncultured bacterium. Its description in RNAcentral is "partial 16S ribosomal RNA". It matches the Rfam family "Bacterial small subunit ribosomal RNA", at positions 523 to 796 of the family's 1533-position model. The record is from RNAcentral.
AUACGGAGGGUGCAAGCGUUACUCGGAAUCACUGGGCGUAAAGCGCGCGCAGGCGGCUGUUUAAGUUGGAUGUGAAAGCCUACGGCUCAACCGUAGAACUGCAUCCAAAACUAUUUAGCUAGAGUGUGGGAGAGGAAGAUGGAAUUAGUUGUGUAGGGGUAAAAUCCGUAGAGAUAACUAGGAAUACCAAAAGCGAAGGCAAUCUUCUGGAACACUACUGACGCUGAGGCGCGAAAGCGUGGGGAGCAAACAGGAUUAGAAACCCCAGUAGUCC